GAUCCUGGCUCAGGACGAACGCUGGCGGCGUGCUUAACACAUGCAAGUCGAACGGACCGACAUGGAAGCUUGCUUCUAUGAAGGUUAGUGGCGAACGGGUGAGUAACGCGUAAUCAACCUGCCCAUCAGAGGGGGACAACAGUUGGAAACGACUGCUAAUACCGCAUACGAUCCAAUCCCGGCAUCGGGACUGGAUGAAAGGUGGCCUCUACUUGUAAGCUAUCACUGAUGGAGGGGAUUG
This 241-nucleotide ribosomal RNA is filed under the name uncultured bacterium. RNAcentral describes it as "partial 16S ribosomal RNA". It matches the Rfam family "Bacterial small subunit ribosomal RNA", at positions 15 to 233 of the family's 1533-position model. The record is from RNAcentral.